RNAcentral lists this long non-coding RNA (2338 nucleotides) under Heterocephalus glaber (naked mole-rat). RNAcentral describes it as "lncRNA (ENSHGLG00100049211.1)". Lineage: Eukaryota; Metazoa; Chordata; Mammalia; Rodentia; Bathyergidae. The record is from RNAcentral.
CCUUGCUGCAGCACUGCCAUUUGUUGAGAAGCUCAGCUGUCCCCUCUCCAGGACACCGGGACUCUUACCAGAGACCAUACUCAGGGAGCGUCCAUGCAGCACCCCACCCCGCUGACAGGAGCGAUUGACUCUUCCACAGUGAAUGUAUCCAGAGCCUCUGUUGUCUUAGCUGUGCUUGAAAUGCAAAUUCCCAGGUGUCCUGUGUGCAAGCACAUUGGGAGGGUGCUGCAUGACCCCCCAGCUGCUUGCCAACCACCAGGGCACUGACUGUGAAGGCCAGGCAGUGUUACAGUGCCGCAGGUGCUGUGUCUCCCCAUGCACACUGAACUCUGCCCUCAGUGCAGGGGCUGGGGGGUCUGAACAGAACAGCGUCGCUUCUCUGAGACAGAGUGGCCAGCGGGCUGUCCUUCACCGUGCAUGCAGUCCACAGCCAGCACAGGCCCCACCAGGCCCAGCCAGGCUGCCCGACCUCAGGCCUAGCCUCUUCCGUCCGAGCUCUGACAGGCCUGCCCCAGGCGACUGGGUGAGCUGUCUCAGCCAGCAGCCCCGCUGCCUUAGCCGUGAUCUGUCCUUGCCGCAGUGGCCCAGUUGGUGGCCAGGGGACCGUUGGAAAAUGCUGGCUCACGGUGAUCGGAUGGCCCUGGGGACAGCAGGCCAGUUCUGGAAGUGUAUGAGGCACACCCUGAACCAGCCACAAAGUGAAGGCUCCUGGUGACACUGACUCUCUUGCGCCCUGCACCUGCUGAGAGCCUCUCUGGAUCCGAAGAGGCUGCCAGGCUCAGAGCUCUGCCAAUGCGACCUUUAGAAUGAGCUGGACCUGCAGCGGGUCGUCUUUACACCAGCAGACACUAUGUUUCCAGAAUGCUGCUGGCCUGCCCUCGAGGAGGAACUUUCCCUCCAUGACAGCACAGGCGUGGCGUGUCAGGGGCUGCUCUGGGUGUGCUUGGGUGUGUGGGGCAUGCAUGCCGGGCACUGUGGUGUUUGGAAACACACCUGAGACAGUCCGUCUGCAGGAGACAAGAGCUAGUGGAUCAGAAUGCACAAAAUACGCUCACAAAUUCCACAACCCACAUGAGUGACUUAGGAAGAAGACCUAGGACGGUCACGGGUCUUCUGAAGCUGAUGUUUUUAACUCUCACUGUGCAGCCCAACUUGCUGUUUUACACAACUGAAAGCUCUGAACGGGUUUAGGGUCUUCACUAAUAUGAGUUCUGAUUCCCAGUUGUCUGGGAUCUGGGCGGCUUCCGGAAGCCCCUGCGCCCAUGGAGCCCUGUCCCUCUCAGAGACAUGUGCUCGCAAACCUCCUGUCCCUCGCUGUGGAGCCAGUGCGGGGUCCUCCAGCCUCUGCGCUCAGUCACACGACUCCUCUGGGAUGCCUCGUGGGUCUGUGCUGGUUGUCCGCCCUCAACUCUUUCUUUGCUUUCAGGGAGGGGUGGCUAGGCUUGAGAACUUUGGGGAAUCUGCAGUAAAGGCUGCAUCAGUCCCACUGGGUACCCUAGAGCAGCUCCCACAAAGCAGAACCCAAAAUGUUUUCUUAACAGUUUAAAAAUCUGGCAAAACCAGCAAAUUGGCAUUACAUGUUUACACUUUGCUGGAUAACUGCUAGAGUCCCCAAAUACCAAGAUUUCUACUGCCAGAAAACCUAAAAUACAAUGGCCCUCUCACAGGACACUCCUACGCUAAUGUGUGGGCUCCCUCUGCUGGGCCUCGGGCCUGUGGCUGUGGAGAGGCAACCGCCCAGGCGACAGAUCCUGGGGAUGAAGUGGGGGCAACUCAGACCCACAGUGAGACCCCGUGUCACAGAGAGGGCCUGCAAUUGCUGGAGUUAUAUUCCUGUCAGUGCAAGAAAAUGGGGAUUUUUAUUUUAAGUGGGAGAUAGCAAGUUUUUGUUUGUCUCCGUUUCUGUUCCCAAAGGAGGCCCAGCGCUCUUUGGAGAGGGGCACAUGUGGUGGGGAGCCUGUUGCUAGGGUAACCAUGUCCUCUGUCUGAAGAUGUCUAGGCCGGUUGGUUCCUUUGGAGCAGUUGAUCAGAUGGAAGGAAACAGGGGAAAUGCAAAUUACGAUCAUGUCACUUCAGAAACAGCACAGUGUGGUCACCCUGUGGCUCCAAAGAGGUCCCACUUCCGUAGUGGGUUCCUCUCCUCACUGCUACUACUCUGGUCCCCCCAGAUGACCAAGUGCUGGUCGGUGCUCAGCAUCUCAUCCUCUACCUUGCAGGCUCAGCCUUGCUUUGUUGAACUUGGAAGGAGAUGUGAGGACAAACUGUUCCUUAAUAAAAUUACAAAUUUUCUCUUCCUAGAGCCAUAAAAGAUUAAUUCAAAACUCUAUAAAAAUGGGCC